Molecule: long non-coding RNA, 2140 nt
Organism: Mesocricetus auratus (golden hamster)
Lineage: Eukaryota; Metazoa; Chordata; Mammalia; Rodentia; Cricetidae
Exons: 4
Source: RefSeq, a predicted model, not a curated record
ACAGGACUCCGCCAUUAGCCACGUGGCACUCUAAAGACCAUAAGGAUGUAGUAACGAAAGGGCAGAACCGCGCCGCUAACCACACCCACUUUAGGCAUGACUAGAGACAGGGAGGCGGAACUGCACCACGAGCCAGGCCCACGGGCGUGUACAGAGAAAGGAAUAAGAGAAUGAACAGCCGAGCGCUCGCCCCUUUCUCGGCUUCCAGUUCGGUGGCGGAAAACUGCUCGACUCCUCAGGGUUGCUCGUUUCUCUCUUAUUAUCUUGUAUCCCAGGCCAAACAUAUGCUCACCUACGACCAAGGACUUGGCCUUGAACUUCUGAUCUUCCUGGUUCCCCUUCCCAUGAGGGCUAUAUUGACAGGAAACAGAAGAGUCUCUCUGGCUGUGGAUGGAUGAGCCCUGCUCUUGGCCCUAGACAACCAAGAACUUACUGACCUGCUUUAUUAACAGGUUGGAAAUAACACACUCUCUAAAUGAAAAGGCACCACCAGUUACCAAAAGGUAAAGCGGCAUUCUCAUUGGCCAUCCACGUCUCUCGCCCCUAGAAACAGCACUGCUCUGGAUCCCUGAGGUUUGGGGUUUUGAUUUCCUUGCAGUCUUAUUGUGAGUCAUGGUAAUUACACCUAUCUAGACUUUGACAGGUGAGGCACUAUCCCUUGAUUUGUGCUAUUCUAGAAUUCUAUCAUCUCAUUGACACUAGGGACCCCGGUUUUGCAGAACAUCUCUUACCAUUAACCCUGAACCAAAGGCAGCCUCCACUGAGCAACCUCACCAGCUCAUUCCUUGUUACUUUAAUGAGAAAAGUGUCUGCUGAAAUUUCCCAGGAAACAUAAUCAGCUGGAGGGCUCUCUGGUUUUAUAUAAUGUAUUCACUCUGACAUGCUUAGUGCUCUGAGGCUUUUGACCACCUCCUCAGUAUCUACUAAGAUAUCUCAACUUUAUUUCCCACAGACCAUCUAGGUUCCAAGCUUCAGGGAGCUAUUUUAUAUUAGCAUCGAGUCCAGCUUGCCUGACCAGGACAUUAAAUCCAAAACCAUAGAGGUGGGUGAUGGUUAAUCUUGGACCUGAAAGUGACUAAGAGAAACACCUCUGGGAUCUUCAUUUCUGGGCAGGAAGACCUUCUUCUAGAGUGGGCAGUGCCUUUGUGCAGUGGAUAUGAAGAGGGCUGGGAUAAAACAGAGUUGUUUCCUUGUCUUGCUUACUACUGAUUAUUUAUUUUAAUUUUAUGUGUAUAAGUGCUUUGCCCGUGUGUAUGUCUGUGUAUCACAUAUGUACAGUGCCCAGUGGAGGACAGAUGGUGGCACAUCCCUAGAACUGGAGUUACUGACAGUUGUGAGCAACCAUGUGGGUGCUGGGAAUUGAACCUGGGUCCUCUGGAAGAGCAGUGCUCUCAACUGGUGAGCCAUCCCUGCAGCCCCCACAGCAGCCAUGCUUUAUUGGCAUCACACUCCAGCUUCUUUGGGUUCAGCCAUGGAUUCCAGUGGCUCUGCGGGGAUCCUUUAGGUCUUUAGUCCCAGACUGUCAGUGAGGUGUCCAGCUUUCUAGAUUCACAACCUCUACACCAUGCAGUGUUGUUGUACUAUUCAGCCCCUAUCAUUGCCUGAGCCAGUGAAACAAAUUCUUCGAGUAGUGUAUAUUCCUUCUAUCAGUUCUGUUUCUCUAGAAAGCCCGGCCAGCACAGGGUGUCUCAUAUCAUGAAGUCGUCCAUAUCUAGCCCAUGGUCUACCUUCCUGGGUCCAGCAAGCUCAGGGCCAUGCCCAUAGAUGUUUCCCCACAUGUGAGUCGUGUCCUGCAGCUCUUGUGGGUAAUGGUCUUUUUCAUUCCAGUCUUGCCUCACUGAAUGAAGCCAUGCUGAAGCCUGACCCUUGCCUCACUGAAUGAAGCCAUGCUGAAGCCUGACCCUUGCCUCACUGAAUGAAGCCAUGCUGAAGCCUGACCCUCUCUGUCAGUCUAGAAGCAAGGAGAGGUUGCUAUCUUAGAAAAUGAUUGUGUGGAGGAAGGGGCACAUCUGCAGGCUCAGAAAAAGCUCAGCCAUUUUUCUCUUAAAAGCCAAACUUUAGCUGGGCGGUGGUAGCGUACACCUUUAAUCCCAGCACUCAGGACCAGCCUGGUCUACAAGAGCUAGUUCCAGGAUAGCCU